AUUAAACGCUGGCGGCAUGCCUUACACAUGCAAGUCGAACGGCAGCAUGGGUGCUUGCACCUGAUGGCGAGUGGCGGACGGGUGAGUAAUACAUCGGAACGUGCCAUUGAGUGGGGGAUAACGUAGCGAAAGUUGCGCUAAUACCGCAUAUUCUGUGAGCAGGAAAGCAGGGGACCGCAAGGCCUUGCGCUCUUUGAGCGGCCGAUGUCAGAUUAGCUAGUUGGUGAGGUAACGGCUUACCAAGGCGACGAUCUGUAGCGGGUCUGAGAGGAUGAUCCGCCACACUGGAACUGAGACACGGUCCAGACUCCUACGGGAGGCAGCAGUGGGGAAUUUUGGACAAUGGGCGCAAGCCUGAUCCAGCCAUUCCGCGUGCAGGAUGAAGGCCUGGUUGUAA
Molecule: ribosomal RNA, 397 nt
Filed under: uncultured bacterium
Lineage: Bacteria
Description: bacterial SSU rRNA
Rfam family: Bacterial small subunit ribosomal RNA
Source: RNAcentral